This is a long non-coding RNA of Cyprinus carpio carpio, 323 nucleotides long. Lineage: Eukaryota; Metazoa; Chordata; Actinopteri; Cypriniformes; Cyprinidae. The record is from Ensembl.
AACGAUUCUGAAAGUCAUUAAUUGUUUGUAAACAAGCACAUCCUGAAAGUGCCCUUCGCUUGUGCACUAGCGCCAUGAGUAGCGCACUUGAUGACUCAAAGACAACAGACGCAAGUAUGGACCACGAACUUUACACUGUACAGAGUCCCUCUGAGGACAUUAAGGAUGGCCCAGAUCAUGCAGAAUUCAUUUAUAAAAGUGAGUAGCAAUUAAUUUUAUGCAUUUAAAUUCCCAGUGCAUUUAAUCAACUGGCUUAUUUUACAGUUCAGCAUUAAGCUGGCCACGUAAAUUGGAUGCAUGCAUUAUACAAAUCGCGUGUCCUG